Fukomys damarensis (Damara mole-rat) is the source of this 723-nucleotide long non-coding RNA. RefSeq lists it as uncharacterized. The transcript has 5 exons. The record is from RefSeq and is a predicted model, not a curated record. Lineage: Eukaryota; Metazoa; Chordata; Mammalia; Rodentia; Bathyergidae.
UGCAGAGACUGACUGUUAACGGGUGUUAAUGGGUGAGGGCUUCCUCCUUUCCAUCAUGAGGCAUUGUGGAAUUACAUAGUGGUUAAUGGUUGUAUAACUAUGGCUAUACUAAAAAUUACUGAAUAUGCUAAAAUGAUAAGCAGAAGCUUAGAAAAAUUAAAUAACAACCAAGAUCAUUAAUCUAGUAAUCAGUAAAGCCACAAUUCACACCCAGGUCUCCAGAGUCCAAAAUCAAGAACAAGAACUAUUGCUACAUAUGAAACCAGAGUCCUGGGAUUACAGGUGUGCACCAUCACACCUGGCUGGCAAUUUCUGUCCAAUAAAAGCAUUAUUCAUCCUCAUCUACCUUGUCCACUGGAACUGGUACUAUGCAACCUCGAGCUCUUCUCCAGAGUCAAAAUUACCACAGAAGAAAGGUCCCUUCGGGGCAGCGUUACCUCUGUGGAAGACCUCUGGAUAUUACAGCAUCUGGGCCAAAUGUCAAUGUUAAAGCCUCAGCGAGGGGAUCUCAGAGUCACCAAGAGAGAGAAGAAUGUGUCCCAGCUAGCUGGCCAGUCCCAUGAGGACAGACAAAAGCAAGAGUUGUCCUGCUAAGCUUAGGACAGAAGACAGCCCAGCUGACAACACACGCAUGAGUAAGCCCGGUCUAGAUCAAUCCAACCAAUUCCAAGAGGAAUGACCUUCAAUCACGAGGUACCAUUAUUAUAAUUUUGUUUAUGUCAG